CGGUUACUCAAACAAGAUCCAUGUGCUAUUAAUGACUCCAAAAUGUUUCGUUGAUAUACCAAUAAGUUCCUACUUCAUUGUUAUGGCAUUGAUGACUCCAAAACACUUUAUUGAUGUGCCAAUGAGUUCUUACUUCAUUGUUAUUGCAUUGAUGGUCUAUUUAUAUGUCUCUUAUUGAUGUAUCAUUGUUUCAAAGUAUCAAAAAUGCGGUGGCGACCGAAAUAACAAUCUCAAAGAUUAAUUGAACUAAGUGAUGAAAGUUUUCUCUUAUCGGGUGGUAUCCCAGGGGCAUAAGCCUAUCAUGGGUCGAUCCCUAUUUAUGUGUUUAUGGGUGGUAUCCCAGGGGCACAAGCCUAUCAUGGGCCGAUCCUUGUUGAUAUGUACUGGAGGCAGCCUAAGGGUCACAGUACAGUACAGUUAUGGGUAAAGUGAUUGAAUAAAUAUAAUGUACAGGUUGUCACAAGUUCUAGUAAGUGUGGUCCACUCAUAUUACGAUUUAUUCACUUGUUUCUGAUUUCUAUUGAGCUCCUAUAUCAUAUGUGAUUAUCUACAUCUUUACAUACUCAGUACAUAUUUCAUACUGACGUCCCCCACGGGGGCCUGCAUUUCAUGUUGCAGGCAUUGGUACCUCAGCUCAUACACAGCACAAGUAGGAGCCAGGAUAUCCAGCUGCUUUUGGUGAGCUCCAGUUUGCUUUGGGGCUUUUCGUGUCAUCUCCAGUCACUUUUGGUAUUGUAUAGAAGUUAGUUAUAUAAAGGGGUAUGUCCCGACCUUAGUUAAACUCUGUAUUGUCUAGAGGCUUUGUAGACCUAAUGUACAGUCAAAGUGGUGUUUUGUUAAUAGACGUGAUGGCUCCAACGGCCAAGUAUUAUAUAUACAUAUAUAUGUGUGCUCAAGCUUAUACAGGUGAUUAUUUCCCUUUAUAUGCGACAUGAUGUUGUCU
RNAcentral lists this long non-coding RNA (943 nucleotides) under Capsicum annuum. RNAcentral's name for it is "long non-coding RNA (CANN_LNC021817)". Lineage: Eukaryota; Viridiplantae; Streptophyta; Magnoliopsida; Solanales; Solanaceae. The record is from RNAcentral.